Molecule: ribosomal RNA, 1098 nt
Filed under: Bacteroides graminisolvens
Lineage: Bacteria; Pseudomonadati; Bacteroidota; Bacteroidia; Bacteroidales; Bacteroidaceae
Description: bacterial SSU rRNA
Rfam family: Bacterial small subunit ribosomal RNA
Source: RNAcentral
UGCAGUCGAGGGGCAGCAUUGGAGUAGCAAUACUUCAGAUGGCGACCGGCGCACGGGUGAGUAACACGUAUCCAACCUGCCGCUUACUCGGGGAUAGCCUUUCGAAAGAAAGAUUAAUACCCGAUGGUAUAAAGAGUUCGCAUGUUCUCUUUAUUAAAGAAUUUCGGUAAGCGAUGGGGAUGCGUUCCAUUAGAUAGUUGGCGGGGUAACGGCCCACCAAGUCUACGAUGGAUAGGGGUUCUGAGAGGAAGGUCCCCCACAUUGGAACUGAGACACGGUCCAAACUCCUACGGGAGGCAGCAGUGAGGAAUAUUGGUCAAUGGACGAGAGUCUGAACCAGCCAAGUAGCGUGAAGGAUGACUGCCCUAUGGGUUGUAAACUUCUUUUAUAAGGGAAUAAAGUGAGGGACGUGUCCCUUUUUGUAUGUACCUUAUGAAUAAGGAUCGGCUAACUCCGUGCCAGCAGCCGCGGUAAUACGGAGGAUCCGAGCGUUAUCCGGAUUUAUUGGGUUUAAAGGGAGCGUAGGUUGACGUAUAAGUCAGCUGUGAAAGUUUACGGCUCAACCGUGAAAUUGCAGUUGAUACUGUAUGUCUUGAGUGUACAAGAGGUGGGCGGAAUUCGUGGUGUAGCGGUGAAAUGCUUAGAUAUCACGAAGAACUCCAAUUGCGAAGGCAGCUCACUGGGGUACAACUGACACUGAGGCUCGAAAGUGUGGGUAUCAAACAGGAUUAGAUACCCUGGUAGUCCACACAGUAAACGAUGAAUACUCGCUGUUUGCGAUAUACAGUAAGCGGCCAAGCGAAAGCAUUAAGUAUUCCACCUGGGGAGUACGCCGGCAACGGUGAAACUCAAAGGAAUUGACGGGGGCCCGCACAAGCGGAGGAACAUGUGGUUUAAUUCGAUGAUACGCGAGGAACCUUACCCGGGCUUGAAUUGCAGAGGAACAUAGUUGAAAGAUUAUGGCCGCAAGGUCUCUGUGAAGGUGCUGCAUGGUUGUCGUCAGCUCGUGCCGUGAGGUGUCGGCUUAAGUGCCAUAACGAGCGCAACCCUUAUCAUUAGUUACUAACAGGUCAUGCUGAGGACUCUAGUGAGACUGCC